GUCUUUAACUUUCAGAUCACGAAGAUGAUGGAGAAACUGUCAGUGCUGGGUCUCAGGGAUAGCACAGCUUUUUUGAGAAAUCUUGUGAAGACUGUCUACUGUUGGGGAGGAUGCCAUUUCAUGCCCAUGUGAAGACUUUGCAAGACCAAAAGAAGACAACCAGAAAUUGGCCCAAUGCAUGCUGUAACUGAGUUAAGGUGUUUCCAGGAUUCCUUAAAGGUUCAGGAAGAACCAGCGCACACCAUAUCCCACUGUGCAGAUUUUGGGAAUGUCUGACUGGACACAAGUCUUCAGUGAGAAGAGAAUCUUCAGAAUUGUAAAAAUGGAGGGAUCUGAAAUUUGCCGAGCAGUUGAGGUGGAGGAUGGUGUUUUUUGAAAAUGUUAAAUAAAUGCAGGUAUGUUGUGUGAAAAGUG
Molecule: long non-coding RNA, 414 nt
Organism: Sinocyclocheilus grahami
Lineage: Eukaryota; Metazoa; Chordata; Actinopteri; Cypriniformes; Cyprinidae
Exons: 4
Source: RefSeq, a predicted model, not a curated record